GAAUUAACUCCUUGAUGGGUGACAUCCCUUGCAUUUCAAGGUGGACACUUGCCAUUAAACUACUAAUUAAAUAAAAAUAAAACUUAUUUUCAAUGAUUUAUCAAUAUUCCUUUAACAUAUUUGGGGGUGGGAUCUAAAUCUGCACAAAGAGAGCUCAUUCACCACUACGGCUUCAAACCUCUAACCCAUAAUCUCCAUUUGUAUAAUCCAAGACGAUAAGCUAGAAAUACAAAAAGCACCAUACGUCAUGCAAAUUAGUAACAAAUAUCAUGAACAAAUUAAUUCCUGAUCAUGUUUCGUCUUAUUCCUUGGACAAUUGCUAGACAGUUCUAAUAAAUCCGUUCCUCAUUUUUGU
RNAcentral lists this unclassified non-coding RNA (355 nucleotides) under Hevea brasiliensis (rubber tree). The record is from RNAcentral. Lineage: Eukaryota; Viridiplantae; Streptophyta; Magnoliopsida; Malpighiales; Euphorbiaceae.